Molecule: ribosomal RNA, 419 nt
Filed under: uncultured bacterium
Lineage: Bacteria
Description: bacterial SSU rRNA
Rfam family: Bacterial small subunit ribosomal RNA
Source: RNAcentral
AUUGAACGCUGGCGGCAUGCUUUACACAUGCAAGUCGAGCGGCAGCGCGGGGGCAACCCUGGCGGCGAGCGGCGGACGGGUGAGUAAUGCAUCGGAACGUAUCCCGUAGUGGGGGACAACCCAGCGAAAGCUGGGCUAAUACCGCAUAUGCUCUACGGAGGAAAGUGGGGGACCCGCAAGGGCCUCACGCUAUGGGAGCGGCCGAUGUCCGAUUAGCUAGUUGGUGGGGUAAAGGCCCACCAAGGCGACGACUCGGUAGCUGGUCUGAGAGGAUGAUCAGCCACACUGGGACUGAGACACGGCCCAGACUCCUACGGGAGGCAGCAGUGGGGAAUUUUGGACAAUGGGGGCAACCCUGAUCCAGCCAUGCCGCGUGCGGGAAGAAGGCCUCGGGUGUAAACCGCUUUGUCGGAGAAAGG